This 497-nucleotide ribosomal RNA is filed under the name uncultured bacterium. RNAcentral's name for it is "partial 16S ribosomal RNA". The stretch from base 55 to 497 matches the Rfam family "Bacterial small subunit ribosomal RNA", at positions 39 to 507 of the family's 1533-position model. The record is from RNAcentral.
GGGGGGGGGGGGGGGGGGGCCGGGGGGGGGGGGGGCGGGCGGGCAGGGGGGGCGGUGGGUGCUCUGACGUGGGCGGGGGACGGGGGGGUGACCAGUGGGGACCCUGCCUAUACGACUGGGAUCACUUCGGGAAACCGGGGCUGAUACCGGAUAAUAUCUUUAACCGCGUGGUUCCAUAGUGAACGACGGUUUUGCUGUCACUUCUAGCUUGAUCCGCGCCGCAUUAGCUAGUUGGUAAGGUAACGGCUUACCAAGGCGACGAUGCGUAGCCGACCUGAGAGGGGGAUCGGCCACACGGGAACGGAGACACGGUACAGACUCCGACGGGAGGCAGCAGUAGGGAAUCUGCAGCAAUGGGAGAAAGCCUGAAGGAGAAAAGCCGCGUGAGUGAUGAAGGUCUGCGGAGCGUAAAACUCUGUUAUUAGGGAAGAACAAAUGUGGAAGUAACUAUGCACGUCUUGACGGUACAUAAUCAGAAAGCAACGGCUAACUACGUG